RNAcentral lists this non-coding RNA (70 nucleotides) under Gemelliphila asaccharolytica. RNAcentral's name for it is "Gemella asaccharolytica Fluoride sequence". It matches the Rfam family "Fluoride riboswitch aptamer (crcB RNA motif)". Lineage: Bacteria; Bacillati; Bacillota; Bacilli; Caryophanales; Gemellaceae. The record is from RNAcentral.
AGUACUAUUGGGAAUGAAGUUCUCCCAAGAAAAAUAAAUGCUUAUUUUAGCUGAUGACUUCUACAAAUUU